Molecule: non-coding RNA, 214 nt
Filed under: Megasphaera geminata
Lineage: Bacteria; Bacillati; Bacillota; Negativicutes; Veillonellales; Veillonellaceae
Description: Anaeroglobus geminatus T-box sequence
Rfam family: T-box leader
About the family: Uncharged tRNA acts as the effector for transcription antitermination of genes in the T-box leader family. T-boxes are found upstream of many aminoacyl-tRNA synthetase genes and some amino acid biosynthetic genes usually in Gram-positive bacteria.
Source: RNAcentral
AUAAAAGCGAUGAGCGGAAGAAGCUUAUUUUCCUUUAUGGCAGAGAGAUACCGGCACGGUGCAACGGUAUUGAUAAAGGCAUAGGCGAGUCACCCGUGAGCCGGCAGGAGAAAAAGCCUGCCCGGAUGCAGCCGUUAUCUGCCAUGAGAGGCCGUGGACAGCAUACGGCAAAUUAGGUGGUACCGCGGAAGACAUACGUUCUUUCGUCCUAAGG